GGUUAAGCGACUAAGCGUACACGGUGGAUGCCCUGGCAGUCAGAGGCGAUGAAGGGCGUGCUAAUCUGCGAUAAGCGCCGGUAAGGUGAUAUGAACCGUUAUAACCGGCGAUACCCGAAUGGGGAAACCCAGUGUGACUCGUCACACUAUCAUUAACUGAAUCCAUAGGUUAAUGAGGCGAACCGGGGGAACUGAAACAUCUAAGUACCCCGAGGAAAAGAAAUCAACCGAGAUUCCCCCAGUAGCGGCGAGCGAACGGGGAGGAGCCCAGAGCCUGAAUCAGCAUGUGUGUUAGUGGAAGCGUCUGGAAAGGCGCGCGAUACAGGGUGACAGCCCCGUACACAAAAGCGCAUGUGCUGUGAGCUCGAUGAGUAGGGCGGGACACGUGGUAUCCUGUCUGAAUAUGGGGGGACCAUCCUCCAAGGCUAAAUACUCCUGACUGACCGAUAGUGAACCAGUACCGUGAGGGAAAGGCGAAAAGAACCCCGGCGAGGGGAGUGAAAAAGAACCUGAAACCGUGUACGUACAAGCAGUGGGAGCCCCACCACCAAAGCAUUUGCUGUACCGCGUUGACGGAGCGAAGCGACGUCAAACCGAUAAAACAGCAGUGUAAAGUGAGCCGCAGGGCGCUUUGCGCGACAGCGCAAAGGCAGGCGGUUUCGCGUAGCGAAAGCGAAUGCUUUGGGGUGGGGUGACUGCGUACCUUUUGUAUAAUGGGUCAGCGACUUAUAUUCUGUAGCAAGGUUAACCGAAUAGGGGAGCCGGAGGGAAACCGAGUCUUAACCGGGCGUUAAGUUGCAGGGUAUAGACCCGAAACCCGGUGAUCUAGCCAUGGGCAGGUUGAAGGUUGGGUAACACUAACUGGAGGACCGAACCGACUAAUGUUGAAAAAUUAGCGGAUGACCUGUGGCUGGGGGUGAAAGGCCAAUCAAACCGGGAGAUAGCUGGUUCUCCCCGAAAGCUAUUUAGGUAGCGCCUCGUGAAUUCAUCUCCGGGGGUAGAGCACUGUUUCGGCUAGGGGGCCAUCCCGGCUUACCAACCCGAUGCAAACUGCGAAUACCGGAGAAUGUUAUCACGGGAGACACACGGCGGGUGCUAACGUCCGUCGUGAAGAGGGAAACAACCCAGACCGCCAGCUAAGGUCCCAAAGUCAUGGUUAAGUGGGAAACGAUGUGGGAAGGCCCAGACAGCCAGGAUGUUGGCUUAGAAGCAGCCAUCAUUUAAAGAAAGCGUAAUAGCUCACUGGUCGAGUCGGCCUGCGCGGAAGAUGUAACGGGGCUAAACCAUGCACCGAAGCUGCGGCAGCGACACUGUGUGUUGUUGGGUAGGGGAGCGUUCUGUAAGCCUGUGAAGGUGUGUCGUGAGGCAUGCUGGAGGUAUCAGAAGUGCGAAUGCUGACAUAAGUAACGAUAAAGCGGGUGAAAAGCCCGCUCGCCGGAAGACCAAGGGUUCCUGUCCAACGUUAAUCGGGGCAGGGUGAGUCGACCCCUAAGGCGAGGCCGAAAGGCGUAGUCGAUGGGAAACGGGUUAAUAUUCCCGUACUUGGUGUUACUGCGAAGGGGGGACGGAGAAGGCUAUGUUGGCCGGGCGACGGUUGUCCCGGUUUAAGCGUGUAGGUGUGUGUUCCAGGUAAAUCCGGUUCACUUUAACACUGAGGCGUGACGACGAGGCACUACGGUGCUGAAGCAACAAAUGCCCUGCUUCCAGGAAAAGCCUCUAAGCAUCAGGUAACAUCAAAUCGUACCCCAAACCGACACAGGUGGUCAGGUAGAGAAUACCAAGGCGCUUGAGAGAACUCGGGUGAAGGAACUAGGCAAAAUGGUGCCGUAACUUCGGGAGAAGGCACGCUGACACGUAGGUGAAGUGAUUUACUCAUGGAGCUGAAGUCAGUCGAAGAUACCAGCUGGCUGCAACUGUUUAUUAAAAACACAGCACUGUGCAAACACGAAAGUGGACGUAUACGGUGUGACGCCUGCCCGGUGCCGGAAGGUUAAUUGAUGGGGUCAGCGCAAGCGAAGCUCCUGAUCGAAGCCCCGGUAAACGGCGGCCGUAACUAUAACGGUCCUAAGGUAGCGAAAUUCCUUGUCGGGUAAGUUCCGACCUGCACGAAUGGCGUAAUGAUGGCCAGGCUGUCUCCACCCGAGACUCAGUGAAAUUGAACUCGCUGUGAAGAUGCAGUGUACCCGCGGCAAGACGGAAAGACCCCGUGAACCUUUACUAUAGCUUGACACUGAACAUUGAGCCUUGAUGUGUAGGAUAGGUGGGAGGCUUUGAAGUGUGGACGCCAGUCUGCAUGGAGCCGACCUUGAAAUACCACCCUUUAAUGUUUGAUGUUCUAACGUGGACCCGUUACCCGGGUUGCGGACAGUGUCUGGUGGGUAGUUUGACUGGGGCGGUCUCCUCCUAAAGAGUAACGGAGGAGCACGAAGGUUGGCUAAUCCUGGUCGGACAUCAGGAGGUUAGUGCAAUGGCAUAAGCCAGCUUGACUGCGAGCGUGACGGCGCGAGCAGGUGCGAAAGCAGGUCAUAGUGAUCCGGUGGUUCUGAAUGGAAGGGCCAUCGCUCAACGGAUAAAAGGUACUCCGGGGAUAACAGGCUGAUACCGCCCAAGAGUUCAUAUCGACGGCGGUGUUUGGCACCUCGAUGUCGGCUCAUCACAUCCUGGGGCUGAAGUAGGUCCCAAGGGUAUGGCUGUUCGCCAUUUAAAGUGGUACGCGAGCUGGGUUUAGAACGUCGUGAGACAGUUCGGUCCCUAUCUGCCGUGGGCGCUGGAGAACUGAGGGGGGCUGCUCCUAGUACGAGAGGACCGGAGUGGACGCAUCACUGGUGUUCGGGUUGUCAUGCCAAUGGCACUGCCCGGUAGCUAAAUGCGGAAGAGAUAAGUGCUGAAAGCAUCUAAGCACGAAACUUGCCCCGAGAUGAGUUCUCCCUGAGACUUAGAGUCUCCUGAAGGAACGUUGAAGACGACGACGUUGAUAGGCCGGGUGUGUAAGCGCAGCGAUGCGUUGAGCUAACCGGUACUAAUGAACCGUGAGGCUUAACCUU
Molecule: ribosomal RNA, 3044 nt
Filed under: Salmonella sp. SJTUF14523
Lineage: Bacteria; Pseudomonadati; Pseudomonadota; Gammaproteobacteria; Enterobacterales; Enterobacteriaceae
Description: 23S ribosomal RNA
Rfam family: Bacterial large subunit ribosomal RNA
Source: RNAcentral